This 69-nucleotide transfer RNA is filed under the name Planctomycetaceae bacterium. RNAcentral describes it as "tRNA-Arg". It matches the Rfam family "tRNA", at positions 1 to 62 of the family's 71-position model. From Rfam's summary of the family: Transfer RNA (tRNA) molecules are approximately 80 nucleotides in length. Their secondary structure includes four short double-helical elements and three loops (D, anti-codon, and T loops). The record is from RNAcentral. Lineage: Bacteria; Pseudomonadati; Planctomycetota; Planctomycetia; Planctomycetales; Planctomycetaceae.
GUAAGCACCCCUAGCUCAAUUGGAUAGAGCAUCGGUCUACGGAACCGAAGGUUACUGGUUCGAGUCCAG